CAAUUCUGGUUGAUCCUGCCAGAGGUUACUGCUAUCGGGGUCCGACUAAGCCAUGCGAGUUGAGAGGGGUAAGCCCUCGGCAUAUUGCUCAGUAACACGCGGAUAACCUGCCCUUGGGUCCGGGAUAACCCCGGGAAACUGGGACUAAUACCGGAUAGACCAAAGAUACUGGAAUGUUCUCUGGUCCAAAACUCCGGUGCCCAAGGAUGGGUCUGCGGCCUAUCAGGUAGUAGUGGGUGUAACGUACCUACUAGCCUACGACGGGUAAGGGUUGUGAGAGCAAGAUCCCUGAGAUGGAUUCUGAGACAUGAAUCCAGGCCCUACGGGGUGCAGCAGGCGCGAAAACUUUACACUGCGGGAAACCGCGAUAAGGGGACCCCGAGUGCCAGCACCUAGUGCUGGCUGUCCCGCUGUUUAAAAAACAGUGGUUAGCAAGGGCCGGGCAAGACCGGUGCCAGCCGCCGCGGUAACACCGGCGGCCCGAGUGGUAGCCGUUAUUAUUGGGUUUAAAGGGUCCGUAGCCGGCUUAUUAAGUCUCUUGGGAAAUCUGGCGGCUUAAUCGUCAGGCGUCCAAGAGAUACUGGUAGGCUUGGGACCGGGAGAGGUGGGAGGUACUCCAGGGGUAGGGGUGAAAUCUCGUAAUCCUUGGGGGACCACCGAUGGCGAAGGCAUCCCACCAGAACGGGUCCGACGGUGAGGGACGAAAGCUGGGGGCACGAACCGGAUUAGAUACCCGGGUAGUCCCAGCUGUAAACGAUGCUCGCUAGGUUUCAGGUGCGGUGCGACCGCAUCUGGU
This 796-nucleotide ribosomal RNA is filed under the name Candidatus Methanoperedens sp. RNAcentral's name for it is "bacterial SSU rRNA". It matches the Rfam family "Archaeal small subunit ribosomal RNA", at positions 1 to 799 of the family's 1478-position model. The record is from RNAcentral. Lineage: Archaea; Methanobacteriati; Methanobacteriota; Methanomicrobia; Methanosarcinales; Candidatus Methanoperedentaceae.